This 508-nucleotide ribosomal RNA is filed under the name Bacillus pumilus. RNAcentral describes it as "bacterial SSU rRNA". It matches the Rfam family "Bacterial small subunit ribosomal RNA", at positions 45 to 540 of the family's 1533-position model. The record is from RNAcentral. Lineage: Bacteria; Bacillati; Bacillota; Bacilli; Caryophanales; Bacillaceae.
UGCCUAAUACUGCAAGUCGAGCGGAGAAGGGAGCUUGCUCCCGGAUGUUAGCGGCGGCGGGUGAGUAACACGUGGGUAACCUGCCUGUAAGACUGGGAUAACUCCGGGAAACCGGAGCUAAUACCGGAUAGUUCCUUGAACCGCAUGGUUCAAGGAUGAAAGACGGUUUCGGCUGUCACUUACAGAUGGACCCGCGGCGCAUUAGCUAGUUGGUGAGGUAACGGCUCACCAAGGCGACGAUGCGUAGCCGACCUGAGAGGGUGAUCGGCCACACUGGGACUGAGACACGGCCCAGACUCCUACGGGAGGCAGCAGUAGGGAAUCUUCCGCAAUGGACGAAAGUCUGACGGAGCAACGCCGCGUGAGUGAUGAAGGUUUUCGGAUCGUAAAGCUCUGUUGUUAGGGAAGAACAAGUGCAAGAGUAACUGCUUGCACCUUGACGGUACCUAACCAGAAAGCCACGGCUAACUACGUGCCAGCAGCCGCGGUAAUACGUAGGUGGCAAGCG